RNAcentral lists this long non-coding RNA (384 nucleotides) under Rattus norvegicus (Norway rat). RNAcentral's name for it is "long non-coding RNA NONRATT009440". Lineage: Eukaryota; Metazoa; Chordata; Mammalia; Rodentia; Muridae. The record is from RNAcentral.
UAGUGAGUCAAGUCCUUUCCUGGUGAUUCUAUCCCUUACCCUUCAGAGACCAGCACUUCACAUGGUUCCGUCACUGAACAUUUUCUCAAGUUCUGGCCAUCAACUAACAGUAGCAUAGUCCUGAUGGGGAGGAAGGUAGUGCCUCCAUCAAAAGGUUGAGACUGACCAAGGUUGUGGCUUAGAGCCAAGAGCCACUAACCAGAACUCGGUUUUCCUGCUGAUGAUCAGUGUCUCAAGGGUCCACUGAUUUGACUACAUCUUCCAUGUCACAGAUUGUCCUUCUGAAGGACCAGAAGAAAUGCUUCAGCAUCGACAACCCUGGCUACGAGCCUGAAGUUGUUGCUGUGCACCCUGGUGGGGACACAGUAGCUGUUGGUGGCUCGG